CUCGGGCCUUCCACCGUGCAGCUAAAUGUUAUCAAUCAAAACACCGGCGAUGCCCCGCGCGUCUUUCAAUUUGCAUUUGCGUGCACCCUGGGUCGGGGGUGUUAAGGAGAUACAGACAGCAUCAGACUGUUGGUGAACGAAGCGAGAUAUCAGCAGCAGAUAACAGGAUGAAUGUUACUGUUUUUGAGAAUGCCUCCUUGCUGCUCCCCGGAGAAACCUUCCUCAGCAGCCACAUACGCCUGUUGCCCAAUGUUCUCAGCCUGAUCCUGCGAUUCCCCGUCAAUGUCUACGUCCUGCAGAUUAUAAUGUCGCGAAACAUGUUCACCUCGGAGUUCUACUCUUUCAAACAGGCCCUUUUUGAAGUUAUGUGCUUCUACGACUUUUUGGGAGUGGUCUUCUUUGUGUCCCCGAACUGGUAUUUGUGGAAAAUCCAGCACUUUUUCCUGGGAUUCAUAAUGACGGCUCGCCCGUGUCUCCUGGCGUUGAUUUGCGUGGAGCGCUACCUGGCAGUGGUUAAACCUGUGGCCUUCCUGAGGAUGAAGUCACUGAAGUACAAACUGGCCAUGUCAGCGAUUAUCUGGUUGUGGACUGUGACUACUGGCGUGUGCAUCUUGGUGUUGACGGAUUUUAAAAACGGUCUUGUGUGGCAGAUCGCUGUGUGUUGCAUAGUGAACCUUUACUGUUGCAUCGCUACCCUUCACGCACUGAGACGGCCCGGUCCAGGAGAAGGGCCCAGGCAGAGAGAGGGGAUGAGCAACGUAAAACUGAAGGCUUUUAGGAUAAUAUUGAUUCUCACGGUUUCAGUCUUUCUCACGUAUGUCCCCUUGGUGCUUGUUGUUCUUUUUAAGAAGUACUUUAAAGAGGAAGUAUUUGCGGACAUCCUUGAUAUCUUCUUCAUCUGCACUGCUCUUUCGGGGUUCAUCCAGGCCUCGCUGUUCCUCCAAAGGCUCGGUAAACUGACCUUCAUCAAAUGGCCGUGAGAUCUGAUAAUCAAACUCCAUGAUCUCUGAAGCAGCCUCAAUCGCUGUUCCAAGAUAGAUGACUGCAAAGCGCUAUUCCCCGAGACUACCACCUCAUUCAGCCUUUUUGAUGAUGAUACUUGAUCAUUGAACUUGAAUGAGACGGAAAGAUUGACUCUACGUCUGCCUGUUUAUGCAAAGCCACGCAGGAUGUAGCUUAACCCCAACUUUACCUUUAGUCUUUGUAUUUUGCCAAAAGGGUCAACAUUAACACGGCAGUCCAAACAGGUUGAAAGCUCAUUUGUACAGCAGGUGGGGCGUCUGUUGAGGAAAACACUGGUACCAAAGUCCCGCGCUACAAAAGUAAGAUUUUAAUUUGGAAUGUGAGAAUCUAUCUGCCAAAAAUCCCUUUUCUGCAAACACGUUAGGCUACAUUCAAGGAUCCUGUUUUAUUGUUGUGGCAGAGCUGAGUUUUCUUAUUUUACUUUAUGAUCAGCAAACUUGUCAACUUAGUCUUAGAACUUUUCUCUGAACACCACAUACCGAUGCACCAACAUAGCUGCCUGCAUCCUCUUCUAUAUGUUUUAUGUCCAACCGGUACGUGACAGCUAUUAAAUCUAAAUUAAAGUUAUUAAAUCUUUGUUUAAAUAGUUCAUAUCACUUUUUUUUUAAACUAACUGCCAGUUGCUACUUAAAUGAACUAUGAGUCGUGACCUUUCUGAUUACUAUCAGCAUUGUAUGAAGGAUUUACUGGUGACUACAAAAGUUUUUUCUUCCUUUUUUUUCGAAGAAAAGAAGAUAUUCUGAAAGUAUGCUUUGUUUUUAUAGGACAACUAAAUGAGAAGAUGGACGGAAAUAUCAUUCUGCCAGAUGUUCCAUCUCUCCAUCUCCUUUGUACAAAUGCCUGGCUUCCGUGCAUAAUCAGUGUGGCUCCUGGUCUCCCUGCCAACGUAUGUGUCAUGUGGCUCAUUUUGGCAAAGCCAGCGGAUGAAGCUGCAGACGUCUUUUCUCUUAACCAGGCCGUAUGUGAAGUUUGUCAAAUGCUGUGUUUUUGAUCGCGAUAACAGUGUCCGAUGACUUUUCCCUCCACUAUCACAGCCUCAGAAUUCAUUGGGGAUUGAUGUUUUCACGACGCCCAAUGUUUUUGAGCUUCAUCUGCUUGGAGCUCUAUCUGUCAGUUGUUCAUCCUGUGACCUUCCUGAGGUACAAGCCCUUGAGAUACAAAGUAGCUGCAAUGACCUUUUCUUGGUUGACGUUGUCGGUGUUUUGUAUAAUAUUUUUGUGGGUACCGUAUCCAGAAAUGUUUUCCGUGCUCUUUGGCGCGGCCAUCCCCUGGUUUCCGUGCAGCUCGUUUUUCAUGGUUGAGACACUGCGCACAGUUGUAAGGCCGGGACCAGGAGAAGAUAACCAGGGACGCAACGGGAUGAGCAGUGCAAAGCGUUACGCUUUCAAAAUCAUCAUCGUGGCUACAUCUCUCUACAAUAUGUCUUAUGUCUUUUCGAUCGUUUUGUUUGGUCAUACAUCAAUAGAGGACAGCUAUAAAAUGUUCUGCAUCUCUUACUACGUGUCUUUGGUGGCUUUCUGCCUCCCAAGCCUCUUCUACUUCCACAGAGUUAGAAGACUGCAAAAUUCUACCAAAGAUGCAGUGUAGAGAUCAGCAGCACACCGUCAAAUGUAACAUGAAAGGCAAUUUUUAGAUCUCCAAUGUUGAACUUCAGUUAAGCUAAAUAAACUACAUUUAUGUUUGAUUUCUUUAGUUGUCCUGGUUAGAGAGCCACAUUACACCGUCUGAAAAUCACUAUUCAACGAUUCGAGAUUCUGUAAAAACAGCGACUGUUGGCAUGGUUACUGUUCCUGUUCGCAUGCAAGCUGCUCCAUCAUGCCUCUUAUUUUUGUUUUCUAUAUUAAUAUGAAAAAAGUCACCUAUUCAAUUCUGACGGUGAAUUAUUCACUACUAAAUCCUGAUUAUUACUUUUUGUGAUGUAGUUUUAAUUAUUUGACAUCUUCAAUAACAUUCUUUGUUGACGGUACAGCUGCACUGCAGCUCCUGUUCUGGAUUCCCGAGCAUGCAUAUUAGAGAAAAAGGGUUGUGUAUUUGUAUUCUUAUGUUUGCUCACUGCUUUGUCUCAGUCAAGUGGAGGCAUCUGAGUUUUAGAACUUUGUGAAUCAUCUUUCUGUUUUGUGACAGUUUGAGGUGAUGCAGAAAAAGCAGAUUGACUUAAACAACAAACUAUUUCAACGUUUGCUUUGACACACUGGAGUCGUACUGUGCUUUUAGUUUAUAGUUGAACUCUUUUACAAUAAUUACAUUGAUUUGUUUGAUUGAGGGUGUGAUGGUUAUAUUUGUGACUUAUUUUCUUGUGUGAUAUUUAAAAAAAGUUAUACUGAUUUGUGGUGUGAAGAAUAUAAACUAGGCCUUGAAGUCGGAUAUCUGACUCGUGUGCUUUUAUUUCUCUCUAACUCAGCUGAGUGUCGUUUCUGUGAUGACUUAGACUGAGAGCGACUGUUCACCAGAGACCCCCCCACCGCCCACCGGCCGCCCCAACGGCCACCUGCUGGUCAUGAACAGAGUCUUUGUGAUAUGUGACGCAACCGCCUCAUCUGCCUUCCCCUCACGGCUCAGCAACCGCCGCGUCCGAAAGGCAGCGACAUAGUCCGUUUAAUUGGAGCUGAUCAUAAACUUGAUUUUAAAGUGUUCCCAGAGUCGUAAAAUCAACCUCGA
Long non-coding RNA from Gasterosteus aculeatus aculeatus (three-spined stickleback), 3681 nucleotides. The record is from Ensembl. Lineage: Eukaryota; Metazoa; Chordata; Actinopteri; Perciformes; Gasterosteidae.